Molecule: long non-coding RNA, 996 nt
Organism: Brassica napus (rape)
Lineage: Eukaryota; Viridiplantae; Streptophyta; Magnoliopsida; Brassicales; Brassicaceae
Exons: 5
Source: RefSeq, a predicted model, not a curated record
UCAAACACGUCGUUUUUUAUUUUUUUGUUUUAUCUCUCUCUCUUCUGCGCGGCUGCUAUAUCGGAGAGACUCUAGGGUUUUCGAUGUUUCAUCUUCUUCCUAACUACCCGUGAAUUAACCAGUUACAGAUUCAUCCUGAUAAAGACGUUCUUCAAUCCAUCAUCCACUAUCUACCUUAAGUGCGGCCGUUGCUCUUGAUAGACGGUGGAACUUCAAGUAUAAAAAAUGUUCUUCCACUGUGGUUAGGUUGCUGCGAAUUUCAAAGGAAUUUUAGGCGCGGUGAUGAGCUCAUGUCUGUUGAUAUACUCUUACUUGAUUCAAAGGCGACUCUUAUGCCGGUUAGGAAAAAUUAUUAUUGGGGGUUAUGGGGGUGAUGAGGAAACUACAUACCCUCAAAGCAAAUGAAGCUGGUCAUAUGUUGGCUGGAGAAUGUGUGAACCCUGAUGAUACUCAGGUCCCCCUUUUUAUUUUGGACGUAGAAGGAAAAACGUUCACCUUUCCGUUAGACUUUCACCAUCAUGCGCAUCCUUAAGGAACGUGAGUGUGCAUCUCUCCCCAAUUUCACUUAUAUUGGUGGCAACGACAAUGAUGGAGGCGAAAAGCCAGAUGACAACACGGAUCUUGCUAAGGUUAAGACUGGUGGUAGCAGUCAGCAGACAGCACCGGAUGCGGGAACAGUCCCAAAUGAUAAAAAGCCAAAGACGCCUUCAGCGGAAGCAGUUUCCAAGGUGGUCAAGAAGGCACGCAUGGCUUGAAUUGUGAUGACAAGAGUCUGCAGUUACAAUAAUGCUAUCACUUUGGUUUUUUCAUGCACGAGUACAUUAUUUUAUUUUUGGUUUUCACCCUCUUUGGGUAGUCUAUGUUUGAUUCAGACGAGUUUAUAAUGAUUUUUACUUGAUGUCUUCAAAUGAUUUGGUUUUAUAUGCCUACGUACAUAAACAAGAUCAGUUUAUAUAAGAGUGUACUCCAAACAGAGGAAUGGAGUUCAUAUUUUAA